AAAAAAAACUCCUUUUAUUUCAUUAAACAGUAAAACAUACGUCACAAACAUCGUAAUCUCUAUCAUCAACAUACCUAAACUACAAGCAUUACUAUUAUUAUGGUUACAGAACUACAAGCAUUAUUUGGAAUUUGCUUAACCACAAGCUGAAACAGAACAGAGAACAGAGAACAGAACAAACCCCAUUUUUUUCAAGCCUCAAUCCACCUCUUCAAUCUUUGGCCCUGCUCCAGAACCACCAGAGCUAGAAGGGCCAUACCCACUUCCGGGCUGAGCACCGCCGCCCAUUGGCACAUCUUCACCACCACCACCUUGAUACAUCUUUGAAAUAAUUGGAUUGCACAAGCCCUCUAAUUCCUUCAAUUUGUCUUCAAAUUCAUCCACCUCUGCCAGUUGGUUCCCGUCAAGCCAUUCAAUUGUCUCAUCAAUGGCCUUCUCAAUCUUCUGCUUGUCUGCUGGAUUCAGUUUACCUGCAAUUUUCUCAUCCUUCACCGUAUUUCUCAUAUUAUAAGCGUAAUUCUCUAGCUUGUUCUUGGCUUCCACCUUCUUCUUCACUUCCUCAUCCUCUGCCUUGUACUUCUCUGCUUCUUGCACCAUUCUCUCAAUCUCUUCCUUGCUUAAUCUUCCCUUGUCAUUGGUGAUUGUAAUCUUGUUCUUCACUCCUGCAGUUUUAUCCUCCGCAGACACAUUCAAUAUACCAUUUGCAUCAAUAUCGAAGCAUACACUAAUCUGGGGAACACCUCUUGGAGCCGGAGGUAUGCCCUUAAGCUCAAAUGUGCCGAGAAGAUUGUUGUCCUUGGUUCUAGCUCUUUCACCUUCAUA
This 822-nucleotide unclassified non-coding RNA is filed under the name Hevea brasiliensis (rubber tree). The record is from RNAcentral. Lineage: Eukaryota; Viridiplantae; Streptophyta; Magnoliopsida; Malpighiales; Euphorbiaceae.